This 405-nucleotide ribosomal RNA is filed under the name uncultured bacterium. Its description in RNAcentral is "partial 16S ribosomal RNA". It matches the Rfam family "Bacterial small subunit ribosomal RNA", at positions 30 to 526 of the family's 1533-position model. The record is from RNAcentral.
AUUGAACGCUGGCGGCAGGCCUAACACAUGCAAGUCGAACGAGUGGCGGACGGGUGAGUAAUGUCUGGGAAACUGCCCGAUGGAGGGGGAUAACUACUGGAAACGGUAGCUAAUACCGCAUACUAUCAGAUGAGCCUAGGUCGGAUUAGCUAGUUGGUGGGGUAAAGGCCUACCAAGGCGACGAUCCGUAACUGGUCUGAGAGGAUGAUCAGUCACACUGGAACUGAGACACGGUCCAGACUCCUACGGGAGGCAGCAGUGGGGAAUAUUGCACAAUGGGCGCAAGCCGGAUGCAGCCAUGCCGCGUGUAUGAAGAAGGCCUUCGGGUUGUAAAGUACUUUCAGCGAGGAGGCGUUACUCGCAGAAGAAGCACCGGCUAACUCCGUGCCAGCAGCCGCGGUAUAC